UUAUUGUUAAUAUCGCUACAAAUAUUUAUGUAAUCAAUUAGCUAUCAAAUAAAAUAUCUCAAGAUUAUUCUCCAACAAGCCAAAAGGAAACAACUUGUGUUAAUUCACAAAAUCAACCCACGAAAUAUACAUGGAAGCUAUGAUAUUUUCUUUUGGAAAGUAUUGCUCGUAUUCCAAAGGAAAUUCCAAAUCGAUCCGCCUAUUAAACAUGGAGAUUUCUUAAAGAAGUGUGUGCCCGUCGAUCCAUAGCUGCAACGCAAAGAACGCGCUGCUCGAUCAAAUCAACCGAGGGACGAGAGGAGAAAGGUCUCCGCCGGACUCCGCUUCCCCACCGCCGCGGAGCUGCCCGCUCCCCUCGCUCCAGAUCGAACUCCAUCCUGACCAGCCCAUCACGUCGAUUCCUUCGCCGACCGUCUACUCCGCUCAAUGCUGUCCCGCUGGACGCUCCUUCUCUCUUCUGCGCCUGGCCUUCCUCCACAACCUGGCGUCUCACUGUCGCCGUCGGCCAUCACCAGGUCGCCGCCUCCCAAACUCACCUACAGGUCGACCGGUACUCAUGAGAAUAGCAGAUCAGUACCUCUGGCCCUAAAAUCCCAUGUUCUUUUCUCUGGUCCGUUAAAUAUACUAUUUGGAAUCAGAUAUAUUUUACUCAUAUGAGGCAAUUUCUGCCAAAUUUGCUGAUAAUUUAGAAAGUGUGUUGCAUGCGUAAUGUUGAAUUCUUCUGUCAAUUUUGUCGUUGUCAAUUUUUGUUAGUUCAACAGGAAAACGAAUGUGAUGCACAUUGUAAGCUGCCAUGGACUGCUGAUACGACUCAUGCAUUACUUCAUGGUUCAUUAUGAGAGACGCGCAUUAACUUGGCAAUAUCAAAACUGGUGUUCCAUGAAACAACAGUCAUAAUAUUGCAGUCACUCGCCGAUGUGUAUCAGGACCGUUGACAUGACUGGAUCAUUUAGUGUUAGAAUAAUCUUAUAUUCUAGGAUGGAGGGAGUACCAUACCACUGUUUGUGCCUGAUUCGAGUAAGUUCAGAUAAAACUUUACAAUAAAACUCUCAUUGAAUUAAGAACAUAACUUGUGUUAUGUGCCUGAUUCGACCUUCUAUUGAUUUUUUACAUUGCUCAUAGCCCAUUGGUGCUUAAGUACAUGAAGAAAUGUCCAGAGAUGUCCAGUAUGUUACAACUGCAGUAUUUAAUAUGUAUUAUUAAUAUCAUUUUAGCACAAAUUUACAUUUAUGUUUACCCAGCUUGGCCUACAUGCUUUGUUUUUUUUGUUAGUAAGUUCAAUAAUUAGAUUUUGUACUACUUAGAAAACUCGUUAGAUGUUUUUACUGCUUGAUCUCACAUCAUAUUUACGUGCUAAGAAAUGAGUUGUAACUGAAACAAUAAUGUUAGUUUAUGUAACUACAUACUGUGUUGGAUAUUAGUUUUUUGAAAUUAAUUACGUGUUCAAUUGGCUUUUCUUUUUGUGUGUCAAGAAUUUAUUUACAAUCUGUAACACGAGUAAUUUAUUUGACAUACAUACAUACAUAUAUAUAUAUAUAUAUAUAUAUAUAUAUAUAUAUAUAUAUUUGUAUACGUGGAAUAUAUUACAAGAUCCAUCAUAAAACUGAAACAACAUCAAGGCUCUUUGAAGUCAUAAUAUCCAGCUUCACCUUCAAAUGUCGACGUUCUACCAUGACUGUGCAAUAUAUUUCAAGGCCCAUGAUAAAACGGAAAGAGGAUCACGGGUUUUACAGGUCAUGGUGGCCCGGUUUUGCUGGCGACCUGGCGUUGUGGUCCAUGCAUACCAAUUCGUGCUCUAGAAGAUAAAUGUAGAGAAGGGUCACAAUAAUUUAAUUCGCUGUUUCAAUAUUUGUAUUCAGAAUAAGUAGUAGUUAUAUUCUCCUGUGUAGUUUUAGUACCUGAGUUGAGAAAUAAAUAAUAGCCUUUCUCUAAAGAGGUUUGAUGCCUUGCUUUUUAUAAUUCAAAUCAUUCGGAUUUGUUUUCUAAUAUUCAGAACAUAAUGGUUUGCAGAGAACAGUGAGGUGACUUUAGAUAGCUGUAAUGAGCUGAUGGAGCCUUUGACCUGAAGUUAUAUUUGUAUAGAUUACAUGAUUUGUUGAUGAGGAUAAGAAAGAGGAGCUGAUGGCGAACCAACCGAGGAAGGUCAUGGAAGAUUGAGGUUGGGCGCGAUGCCACAUCAGAAGUUAUUUAGGCUAUGGGCGAGUUAGGGGCCAUGGAGGAGUGAGCUGAUAGGAGGGUCGAGUAUGGUGCAUACAUGUCAACAUUGGUAGUCAGAACUUAUGUUGAGUGCGGAUGGGAAUGAUGGAAUGAGGACGGGCGUGCUGCAGUUUAGCAAUUUGUCAUUGCCAAAUGAUUCAAUCCCGGUGAGGUCAUUGUUGGAUAUGCAAGGUCUCACUUGGCAAGGUAUUCGAAGUUCUUAAGUGCUUAGGAACCUCGCUGUGUUUUCGUAUUGACGUGAUUAGCAAGUGUAUUUACCGAAGCAUAGAUGUAAUACGGGUUAUGUGCAGCACCGAAUCUGAGGUGGCUGCAGUCCAGUCGGUUCUGGCAUUGGAGAGUUAAGAGUGAAUCAGACUUAAUCAGAUGGCAUCGACACUGUGUUAAUCAUUGGAAGGUCUGUUGAGCGUUUGGGAAGAGAAGCAUGGGGCCAAUACGUACUUUUGGUUCUUAACCUAGGUGAUCUCAUUUAAAGUUGUUGCCGUUUGUUAAAGUCAUUCUUGAUAAGCUACACAACGCUUCAUGUAUUGCACUACUAAUGCCGUUUAUUUGGUGGCCAACCUCCUGUUCCACUCGUAUAUAGAUGAUUUGUUUUGUUUACUAAAAUGUGAAUAUAAGUGAAUCUAUCUUAAA
Molecule: non-coding RNA, 2847 nt
Organism: Aegilops tauschii subsp. strangulata
Lineage: Eukaryota; Viridiplantae; Streptophyta; Magnoliopsida; Poales; Poaceae
Source: RefSeq, a predicted model, not a curated record